RNAcentral lists this ribosomal RNA (112 nucleotides) under Galeandra sp. SRR-2011. RNAcentral describes it as "partial 18S ribosomal RNA". It matches the Rfam family "Eukaryotic small subunit ribosomal RNA", at positions 1720 to 1831 of the family's 1831-position model. Lineage: Eukaryota; Viridiplantae; Streptophyta; Magnoliopsida; Asparagales; Orchidaceae. The record is from RNAcentral.
GACGCGGGCGUUCGCCGCCCUGACUCGGCGAGAAGUCCAUUGAACNUUAUCAUUUAGAGGAAGGAGAAGUCGUAACAAGGUUUCCGUAGGUGAACCUGCGGAAGGAUCAUUG